This 241-nucleotide ribosomal RNA is filed under the name uncultured bacterium. Its description in RNAcentral is "partial 16S ribosomal RNA". It matches the Rfam family "Bacterial small subunit ribosomal RNA", at positions 15 to 244 of the family's 1533-position model. The record is from RNAcentral.
GAUCCUGGCUCAGGAUGAAAACGCUGGCGGCGUGCUUAACACAUGCAAGUCGAACGAAGCACUUCAUAAAGCUUGCUUUAAGAAGUGACUUAGUGGCGGACGGGUGAGUAACGCGUGGGUAACCUGCCUUACACAGGGGGAUAACAGUUAGAAAUGACUGCUAAUACCGCAUAAAACAGCAGAGUCGCAUGACUCAACUGUCAAAGAUUUAUCGGUGUAAGAUGGACCCGCGUCUGAUUAG